Molecule: long non-coding RNA, 91 nt
Organism: Cotesia glomerata
Lineage: Eukaryota; Metazoa; Arthropoda; Insecta; Hymenoptera; Braconidae
Exons: 3
Source: RefSeq, a predicted model, not a curated record
AAAAUUUUCUUUAAAUUCCGACGUAAGACCGGCUACAAUAGCUAGAUUUAUAAAUAAAUCUACCUAAAAAUAAAUUUUAAUAAAUAAAUAC